Molecule: ribosomal RNA, 249 nt
Filed under: uncultured Armatimonadota bacterium
Lineage: Bacteria; Bacillati; Armatimonadota
Description: uncultured Armatimonadetes bacterium partial 16S ribosomal RNA
Rfam family: Bacterial small subunit ribosomal RNA
Source: RNAcentral
CUAGCCGUAAACGAUGGAUACUAGGUGUUAGAGGUAUCGACCCCUCUAGUGCCGAAGCUAACGCAUUAAGUAUCCCGCCUGGGGAGUACGGCCGCAAGGCUGAAACUCAAAGGAAUUGACGGGGGCCCGCACAAGCGGUGGAGCAUGUGGUUUAAUACGUCACUAACCGUAGAACCUUACCCAGGCUUGACAUCUGGGGAAUCCUGGUGAAAGCCGGGAGUGCUGUUUACAGAACCCCAAGACAGGUGU